UAGUUAAAUCCUGAUUGUUGCCAUGAC
Molecule: non-coding RNA, 27 nt
Filed under: Callithrix jacchus (white-tufted-ear marmoset)
Lineage: Eukaryota; Metazoa; Chordata; Mammalia; Primates; Cebidae
Also listed under: 1 other name
Source: RNAcentral